UACGAAGGGGCUAGCGUUGCUCGGAAUCACUGGGCGUAAAGCGCACGUAGGCGGAUUGUUAAGUCAGGGGUGAAAUCCUGGAGCUCAACUCCAGAACUGCCUUUGAUACUGGCGAUCUCGAGUCCGGGAGAGGUGAGUGGAACUGCGAGUGUAGAGGUGAAAUUCGUAGAUAUCGCAAGAACACCAGUGGCGAAGGCGGCUCACUGGCCCGGUACUGACGCUGAGGUGCG
This 230-nucleotide ribosomal RNA is filed under the name uncultured bacterium. RNAcentral's name for it is "partial 16S ribosomal RNA". It matches the Rfam family "Bacterial small subunit ribosomal RNA", at positions 524 to 755 of the family's 1533-position model. The record is from RNAcentral.